This 831-nucleotide unclassified non-coding RNA is filed under the name Hevea brasiliensis (rubber tree). The record is from RNAcentral. Lineage: Eukaryota; Viridiplantae; Streptophyta; Magnoliopsida; Malpighiales; Euphorbiaceae.
GCUCAUGACCAACAAGCGAAUCAAUGAGACCACUUCCCUUCGACGAAAGUGCGUCGACAAUAUGAUAAAAUAUAUUGAAGACGAUACUGCAGCAGCACAUGCACGAGGAGAAUCAGGGGAGUUGAUGGUAGCUCACUACACAUUUGUCAUGGCAUUCAACCUGAUAGGCAAUCUUAUGAUCUCACAGGAUCUCCUGAAUUCUCAAUCAAAAGAAGGGUUCGUGUUCCUUGAUUCCAUGAAGAAGGCUAUGGAGUUGGCUGGGGAGCCAAACAUAGCUGACUUCUUUCCAUUUUUGGAAGGGUUGGACCCUCAGAGGAUAAAGAGGAAGAUGGAGCAAGAAAUGGGAAGAACUUUGAAUAUAGUGGAAGGAUUUGUGAAGGAGAGAAUUGAAGAGAGAAAAUUAGGAAAAGAAAGGGAGAAGAAGGACUUUCUUGAUGCGCUAUUGGAAUACGAAGGUGAUGGAAAAGGACCUGAUAAAAUCUCAACGGAAAGCAUAUUCAUAAUCAUAUUGGAGAUGUUCUUUGGUGGGACAGAAACUACAAGCGGCACUAUUGAGUGGGCCAUGGCUGAGCUGCUCUGCAGUCCAAAUUCAAUGAAAAGAGUUAAAGAAGAACUUAAUCAAGUUGUGGGACCAAAACGGAAGGUAGAGGAGAGUGACAUAGACGAAUUGCCAUACUUGCAGGCGGUAAUCAAAGAAACAAUGAGGUUACAUCCUAUAGUUCCAUUAUUAGUUCCACGAAAAUCUUUAGAAGACACAAACUUUAUGGGAUACGUCAUACCUAAAGAUACUCAAGUUUUUGUGAACGCAUGGGCAAUAGGAAGAGACCCAGA